RNAcentral lists this unclassified non-coding RNA (230 nucleotides) under uncultured fungus. Its description in RNAcentral is "sequence contains ITS1, 5.8S rRNA gene". The stretch from base 182 to 230 matches the Rfam family "5.8S ribosomal RNA", at positions 1 to 49 of the family's 154-position model. Lineage: Eukaryota; Fungi. The record is from RNAcentral.
UUUCCGUAGGUGAACCUGCGGAGGGAUCAUUACUGAGUGAGGGCCCCCGGCCCGACCUCCAACCCUUUGUGUAUCUCGACCCUGUUGCCUCGGGGGCGACCCGGCCUUCGGGCGUCGGGGCCCCCGGCGGACCAUUCAAACACUGCAUCUUUGCGUCUGAGUACACGAUUGAAUCAAUCAAAACUUUCAACAACGGAUCUCUUGGUUCUGGCAUCGAUGAAGAACGCAGC